GAUGAACGCUGGCGGUAUGCUUAACACAUGCAAGUCGAACGGUGCUUUAGGGCACAGUGGCGGACGGGUGAGUAACGCGUGAGAAUCUGGCUCUAGGUCUGGGACAACCACUGGAAACGGUGGCUAAUACCGGAUGUGCCCUUAGGGGUGGAAGGUUAACUGCCUGGAGAUGAGCUCGCGUCUGAUUAGCUAGUAGGUGU
RNAcentral lists this ribosomal RNA (200 nucleotides) under uncultured bacterium. RNAcentral describes it as "partial 16S ribosomal RNA". It matches the Rfam family "Bacterial small subunit ribosomal RNA", at positions 28 to 255 of the family's 1533-position model. The record is from RNAcentral.